This is a non-coding RNA of Nylanderia fulva, 983 nucleotides long. The record is from RefSeq and is a predicted model, not a curated record. NCBI's taxonomy places the organism in Eukaryota, Metazoa, Arthropoda, Insecta, Hymenoptera, Formicidae.
GAUAAUUAAUUUAUUUAUUAAUGAUUUAUAUUGAAUUACUCUAUAGUAAAUAAGACAUUUAGUGUACCGAAUAAUCUCUCUUUAAAUUUAAAGACAGAAAUUAGUAAAUUUAUUAAUGAUUUUUCGUGAUAAAUUUUUUAAUGAUUCUUCGCUAAUAUAGUAAAUUCUGCGCGAUUUCCGCGAUUUCUUCGUCAUUUCAGCAAAACAUAUAUUCUAGUGGCCAAUUUAGGAAUAUCAGCGACCCCUGAGUGCGUCGCGGGGUGAGUCGCCGCAUCGUCGUUCGAUAAAGUCUUCCGAUAAGUGAACCUUGAAGAAAAACGGCGAUGCCAAAACGGAGCAUCGGUUUUCGCGCGCGAAUAUGCUCUCGCGAUUCUCGCGUUUUACCAAAAUACAUACGUCGAAAAUGUGAUAUUAAAACCGGGUCGUCGCCGCGCGUUGUGAACGAAAAAAGUAACGCGAGUGCAAGUGUUUCGAAACUUCUACGAGGAGAAAAAAUAGUUGCGACGAGGAAUUCGGAGUACACCGAGACUGGAGAAGAAAAAUAAUCGAAAUAUAUACUUGCUCUGAAGAGCUUUAGGAGAAUUGGAAAGCUGUAAAUCUUAAAAGGCGAAGGAAAUCUGGGAGGGACAUCGGGCGCCAGCGGAGCAACCCUGGGAUAGCAACGUAGUUUUGUUAUUAACUCCGCUGCUGCGCAUCGGUUGGUGAGUGCUAAUUUUAUUAUUAGAUAGAUUUGUACAUAUUUGAUUGUAGAAACAUAGUGUAUAUUAUAGACUGUAAAUUAUAGACUAUAGAUUGUAGACUGUAGAUUGUAAUAGACUGUAUGUUGUAGAACCGUUAUCUCAAAAUAAAUUGCGGACGACAGAUUAAGAUAUUAUAAUUAUAAUAUAUAUGUAUAAUCAUCGUGCAAAGGAAACUUUAUUUGAUCAAAUUGUUGAGUUAAUUAUCAAACACGAUAAUAACGCGGUAAUUUUCAAAUCCCAUAU